Molecule: ribosomal RNA, 1501 nt
Filed under: metagenome
Description: bacterial SSU rRNA
Rfam family: Bacterial small subunit ribosomal RNA
Source: RNAcentral
AGAGUUUGAUUCUGGCUCAGAACGAACGCUGGCGGCGUGGAUAAGACAUGCAAGUCGAACGGAUUUGUUUGCGUAGCAAUACGUGAGCAGGUCAGUGGCGCAAGGGUGCGUAACACGUGGGCAACCUGCCCUGGAGUCUGGGAUAGCCCGCCGAAAGGCGGAUUAAUACCGGAUGUGGCUACUGCUUGAUUAAGCAGGACGCUAAAGGUGGCGCAAGCUGCCGCUCUUGGAUGGGCCCGCGGCCUAUCAGCUCGUUGGUGAGGUAACGGCUCACCAAGGCUAUGACGGGUAGCUGGUCUGAGAGGACGACCAGCCACACUGGAACUGAGACACGGUCCAGACACCUACGGGUGGCAGCAGUCGAGAAUUUUUCGCAAUGGGGGCAACCCUGACGGAGCGACGCCGCGUGGAGGAUGAAGGUCUUCGGAUUGUAAACUCCUGUCAUUGGUGAACAAGGUGCUCCGAUUAACUGUCGGGGUAAUUGCUAGUAGCCGAAGAGGAAGGGACGGCUAACUCUGUGCCAGCAGCCGCGGUAACACAGAGGUCCCGAGCGUUGUUCGGAUUCAUUGGGCGUAAAGGGUGCGUAGGCGGCCGCCUAAGUUUGAUGUGAAAUCCCGGGGCUCAACCCUGGAAUUGCAUUGAAUACUGGGUGGCUAGAGUACUGGAGAGGAAACUGGAAUUUACGGUGUAGCAGUGAAAUGCGUAGAGAUCGUAAGGAAGACCAGUGGCGAAGGCGAGUUACUGGACAGUUACUGACGCUGAGGCACGAAGGCCAGGGGAGCAAACGGGAUUAGAUACCCCGGUAGUCCUGGCAGUAAACGGUGCAUGUUUGGUGUGGGAGGAAUCGACCCCUUCCGUGCCGGAGCUAACGCGUUAAACAUGCCGCCUGGGGAGUACGGUCGCAAGAUUAAAACUCAAAGAAAUUGACGGGGGCCCGCACAAGCGGUGGAGUAUGUGGCUUAAUUCGAUCCACGCGAAGAACCUUACCUGGGCUUGACAUGCAUCUCUAAGUCGGUGAAAGCCGGCGAGUGGAGCAAUCCACAAUUUGCACAGGUGCUGCAUGGCUGUCGUCAGCUCGUGUCGUGAGAUGUUGGGUUAAGUCCCGCAACGAGCGCAACCCUUGUGGCCUUUGCCACCCACCUUUUGGUGGAGCACUCUGGCCAGACUGCCCUGUGAAACGGGGAGGAAGGUGAGGAUGACGUCAAGUCAGCAUGGCCCUUACGCCCAGGGCUGCACACGUACUACAAUGCACAGUACAGAAGGAGCCGAGACCGCGAGGUGGAGGAAAUCACGAAAACUGUGCCCAAUUCGGAUCGCAGGCUGCAACUCGCCUGCGUGAAGCCGGAAUCGCUAGUAAUGGCGCAUCAGCUACGGCGCCGUGAAUACGUUCCCGGGCCUUGUACACACCGCCCGUCACAUCAUGGGAGUCGUUUGUACCCGAAGCCGACCGCAAGGCCGUCUAAGGUAUGAGCGGUAACUGGGAUGAAGUCGAAACAAGGUA